RNAcentral lists this ribosomal RNA (933 nucleotides) under Lactiplantibacillus plantarum. RNAcentral's name for it is "bacterial SSU rRNA". It matches the Rfam family "Bacterial small subunit ribosomal RNA", at positions 503 to 1436 of the family's 1533-position model. The record is from RNAcentral. Lineage: Bacteria; Bacillati; Bacillota; Bacilli; Lactobacillales; Lactobacillaceae.
ACGUGCCAGCAGCCGCGGUAAUACGUAGGUGGCAAGCGUUGUCCGGAUUUAUUGGGCGUAAAGCGAGCGCAGGCGGUUUUUUAAGUCUGAUGUGAAAGCCUUCGGCUCAACCGAAGAAGUGCAUCGGAAACUGGGAAACUUGAGUGCAGAAGAGGACAGUGGAACUCCAUGUGUAGCGGUGAAAUGCGUAGAUAUAUGGAAGAACACCAGUGGCGAAGGCGGCUGUCUGGUCUGUAACUGACGCUGAGGCUCGAAAGUAUGGGUAGCAAACAGGAUUAGAUACCCUGGUAGUCCAUACCGUAAACGAUGAAUGCUAAGUGUUGGAGGGUUUCCGCCCUUCAGUGCUGCAGCUAACGCAUUAAGCAUUCCGCCUGGGGAGUACGGCCGCAAGGCUGAAACUCAAAGGAAUUGACGGGGGCCCGCACAAGCGGUGGAGCAUGUGGUUUAAUUCGAAGCUACGCGAAGAACCUUACCAGGUCUUGACAUACUAUGCAAAUCUAAGAGAUUAGACGUUCCCUUCGGGGACAUGGAUACAGGUGGUGCAUGGUUGUCGUCAGCUCGUGUCGUGAGAUGUUGGGUUAAGUCCCGCAACGAGCGCAACCCUUAUUAUCAGUUGCCAGCAUUAAGUUGGGCACUCUGGUGAGACUGCCGGUGACAAACCGGAGGAAGGUGGGGAUGACGUCAAAUCAUCAUGCCCCUUAUGACCUGGGCUACACACGUGCUACAAUGGAUGGUACAACGAGUUGCGAACUCGCGAGAGUAAGCUAAUCUCUUAAAGCCAUUCUCAGUUCGGAUUGUAGGCUGCAACUCGCCUACAUGAAGUCGGAAUCGCUAGUAAUCGCGGAUCAGCAUGCCGCGGUGAAUACGUUCCCGGGCCUUGUACACACCGCCCGUCACACCAUGAGAGUUUGUAACACCCAAAGUCGGUGGGGU